This 380-nucleotide ribosomal RNA is filed under the name uncultured bacterium. RNAcentral's name for it is "bacterial SSU rRNA". It matches the Rfam family "Bacterial small subunit ribosomal RNA", at positions 427 to 793 of the family's 1533-position model. The record is from RNAcentral.
AAAGCACUUUCAGUCGUGAGGAAGGUAGUGUAGUUAAUAGCUGCAUUAUUUGACGUUAGCGACAGAAGAAGCACCGGCUAACUCCGUGCCAGCAGCCGCGGUAAUACGGAGGGUGCGAGCGUUAAUCGGAAUUACUGGGCGUAAAGCGCAUGCAGGUGGUUUGUUAAGUUCAGAUGUGAAAGACCCGGGGCGUCAACCUCGGAAUAGCAUUUGAAACUAGGCAGACUAGAGUACUGUAGAGGGGGUAGGAAUUUCAGGUGUAGCGGUGAAAUAGCGUAGAGAUCUGAAGGAAUACCGGUGGCGAAGGCGGCCCCCUCGGACAGAUACUGACACUCAGAUGCGAAAGCGUGGGGAGCAAACAGGAUUAGAUACCCUGGUAG